UACGGGGGGGGCAAGCGUUGUUCGGAAUUACUGGGCGUAAAGAGCUCGUAGGCGGUUUGUUGCGUCGGCUGUGAAAUCCCGAGGCUCAACCUCGGGUCUGCAGUCGAUACGAGCAAACUAGAGUGUUGCAGGGGAGACUGGAAUUCCUGGUGUAGCGGUGAAAUGCGCAGAUAUCAGGAGGAACACCGGUGGCGAAGGCGGGUCUCUGGGCAACAACUGACGCUGAGGAGCGAAAGCGUGGGGGGCGAACAGG
This 253-nucleotide ribosomal RNA is filed under the name uncultured bacterium. Its description in RNAcentral is "partial 16S ribosomal RNA". It matches the Rfam family "Bacterial small subunit ribosomal RNA", at positions 524 to 776 of the family's 1533-position model. The record is from RNAcentral.